UCCGGCUUAUCACCGGCAGUCCCACUAGAGUGCCCAACUAAAUGCUGGCAACUAAUGGCGAGGGUUGCGCUCGUUGCGGGACUUAACCCAACAUCUCACGACACGAGCUGACGACAGCCACGCACCACCUGUGCACUGGCCCCGAUGGGCUGCCGUAUUUCUACGACAUUCCAGUGCAUGUCAAGCCUUGGUAAGGUUCUUCGCGUCGCGUCGAAUUAAACCACAUGCUCCACCGCUUGUGCGGGCCCCCGUCAAUUCCUUUGAGUUUUAAUCUUGCGACCGUACUCCCCAGGCGGGGUGCUUAAAGCGUUAGCUGCGCCACCGAUGAGCAAGCUCACCGACGGCUAGCACCCAUAGUUUACGGCGUGGACUAC
Molecule: unclassified non-coding RNA, 374 nt
Filed under: uncultured Alphaproteobacteria bacterium
Lineage: Bacteria; Pseudomonadati; Pseudomonadota; Alphaproteobacteria
Description: contains 16S-23S intergenic spacer region
Source: RNAcentral